Daphnia pulex (common water flea) is the source of this 2936-nucleotide long non-coding RNA. RefSeq lists it as uncharacterized. The transcript is spliced from 9 exons. NCBI's taxonomy places the organism in Eukaryota, Metazoa, Arthropoda, Branchiopoda, Diplostraca, Daphniidae. The record is from RefSeq and is a predicted model, not a curated record.
UGUAGGGAGCGUUGUAAUUUGAUUCCUGCCUUUUGCUUGUUGAGGUGACGACACACUCUCCUGGAGCUCAUCCAGCAACAAAUCUGCAAGAAAAACCAAAUAAUUCACAGUCCACACCUAGAUUUUGGUCCCAUUCGGAGAUUGGAUACUGUGUCUCGUACAGUUGUAUUUCCUCCGCAUCUCCAUUAAGGUUCCAUGACUGUUGAUGACUGGUGGUACUCAUCGACGUUGAAUUCGGUCCGCUGCUGGUUACUUUGUUGCAGACAGCUGGGGAUAGGUGUUCCUUUUGCAGGUGUGCUACUGGUACUGGUUGUAAUUUUCGUCAUGUACAGAAACAAUUCUUAAGCAGGAUGUUGAAGAUCUUUCCUUUCUCCACGUGGUUGCUGACGUGUCAUGAAGAUGUGUUUUUGGGAGGGUCUCUACUAUAUUGCAAGACAAAAGUGUGAUGAAAACAGGAAAUCUGAAAUGGUGUCCAUCUUUCUUAAUAGCCCACAUUUCUACUUGACAGCUCUACCAAUGUGUUUAACAGCAUAAGAAGUUAAUCAAUGAUGCCAAGCUUCUAAGGACUUACAAACGAAAAUGUUUCUCAUUUCACAGUAAUGGUGAUCCCAAAGAAUAUGACCAUUGAAGAUUUAGUUCUCUAUGCAGAGACAAAACGAUAGUUGGCUGAAAACAAUUGGAUGUACAUGGCUAAUUUUAUCGUCAUAUAAAUAGGGUGGUGGACAUGUUACAAAAUUUUUCCACAAGAAUGCAGAAAACUUAUCAAAUCAAUUACUAGAUGACCUUUUUAUAUCUUCCUUUUUACUCCUAUCAUUUGGGUUUAAAUAGUGACGAACUGACAGGUGGAUGGUGGCAGCAUAUUUGAUACAGGGAUCCACUCUUUCUUAUAGGCUAAAGCAUCUGACAGAAGUUAUCCAAAAUAGGCAACUUGUGUGUAUUACGUUUCAGAUGGUUUCGAUUCCGACUAGUCCGGUGCAUCAGUGGGCCCUCUUCCGACAAACCCAGAUUAAAUCGGAUGAGAUUUCUGGCGAUGACAAUAGAACAGGAUGCAAAUUCGGAAGUCAUGGGCUGUCUGAUGGGCCCGCAACACGUCCAGCAGCCACAUUGAGACUCGGAAACGUUUGUCGGUUCUUCGUUGCCGACGUCGGCCGUCUUGACUGAGUUACAUCACGCUACCUGGACAAUUCCCGACUCUUCACUCGCUUCGACGACAACAAAGAAUUUUUUCCGGUUCCAAAGUUUAUGGUGUUCCGUCGGUGGACCACACAUUUUGAGUCAUCGUUAUUAUGAUGCAUUUGCCUAUAAUAGUGAAGCAGGAGCCAUAACUGGGAGCAGCUGCCGGAUGAUUCUGGAACCACGAACUUACUCUUCCGUUUGGUGUUCCGAUUCACCAAUUAUUUGUUUGGUCGUUUGCAUCGCAACCGACUGAAACAUCACCGCAAUGAACCGAAACUAUGAGAUGCUAUUUUGUUGCCGGGAGUAAUCAAAGAUAUCCUAUCAGUGCUGGAUCGUGGAUAGAAUCAUUCGUUCGGCUGAAGAAUAUCUCGAUUCUUUCGAAUGACCUGGCCCAACAAUUCACAGAUCUCGUCCGGGAUCAACUCGCUUAUUCAAUCCCGCCAUAUUGGGAUCCAGCAAAGAAAACUUUUACUCCUCAGCUGAAUGUUGUCCACCAUUCAACAACGGAUGCCACUGCUUCUAGUCAAUCUGCUGGACCGUGUUCCGGCAUGAAAGAUUCAUUUCAGAUUGUUUGAAAUUGCCAUGAACUUGUUUGUUUUUUGUUUGUUUUCUGCAAUUCGUCUUGUUGUGGAGCGUCUAGACUAGCAUAUCUGAGUAAGGGUCUAACAGUUUGCGUAUUGGCCCAGUCGAAGGUACUGGAGGAAGUCUGAUUGGUGGCGAUCGUGUGCCCGUUUUAGUGAUGGUUAGUUAGAGAACGCUGCCGUAAUUGUUGUCACAGAAGGAGUGAUUUAUGUCUCCGGCUCUUUUAGUUAAAUUUCGUGUCAGAAACAAAAAGGUUUUCCAUUCAGGGUUCCCCAUCUCUCAUACCGGUCUGUUACAGCAGUAGUCAACGGCGUACAAAGAAUUUUUUAUAUCAAGGUUUUUUUUCUCAUUUAAAUGCUGCAGUGCAUUAAUGUUAGUAUUUGUUUUUGUAAGAGUUGACUGGGGAAGUAUUGGGUUUGUACAUGCAUGGUGUUAUUUAUCAUAAGAAUACAAGACCAGACAUGGGAAACAUUGGGAGGUAAUAGAGGGGGGACAUGUGGAAGGAGUAGGAAAUGAACCUGGGGCCUUUCUUAUCAUCACUAGGGGCCGUAACCAUGACAGUGGUCCAUCAUCCAAUUUGAUAAAUCUCGAGAAUUUUAUCAGAUCCUUUAAAGGGCUGGCUAAGAAUGCUGUGGAAUUUUUCAAUUUAGGCAACACAGUAGGUAGCUAUUGGUUAUAGCUCAAAAUUGUCACGAGUUACGUGUUUGAAUCUUGUAGGACAAUGGAGGACUAAGAGGGUAGGAAGUAGAAGUGCAGAGAAAUCUGUGGAAUAGUCCAGUAAAAUGCGAAUGUAUAAGAAAAGAAACGUGGUAAGUUGCAAUUUUAUUUUUCAACGGGAUAUUUACAUACAUCAGGAUGAUUCCAUUCAUAGUUGAAAUGUUUGGUUAGUAAUGUAACUAUAAUUGCGUAUUAUAGAGACGUUACAUAGUGUUUAAGGAUUGAUCCACCGUAGUGUUGGUAGUUUUAAAUGGUACACGCGAAUCUUUCAGUCUUCAUUCUGCAGUGUUGUGUUAGCAAUGGAGGAGUAGGGUUGUCGAAUUUGUGUUCUGGUCAUCCGUGUGGACAAUCGGUUUGACUGAAUGUGUGCUUGUCAAGGUUGUUUUAACUCUUACUUUUAUACGGCAGUAUAAAACUAAAUCAAUAAAUGUGUAAUUGAAAAUAACUUGUGCCUAGUUUGU